AAGUGUGGGAUCAAACAGGAUUAGAUACCCUGGUAGUCCACACUGUAAACGAUGAUAACUCGCUGUCGGCGAUAGACCGUCGGUGGCCAAGCGAAAGCGAUAAGUUAUCCACCUGGGGAGUACGACCGCAAGGUUGAAACUCAAAGGAAUUGACGGGGGCCCGCACAAGCGGAGGAACAUGUGGUUUAAUUCGAUGAUACGCGAGGAACCUUACCCGGGCUCGAACGGUGCAUGAAUAAUACAGAGAUGGAUUAGUCCUUCGGGACAUGUAUCGAGGUGCUGCAUGGUUGUCGUCAGCUCGUGCCGUGAGGUGUCGGCUUAAAUGCCAUAACGAGCGCAACCCUUGUCAUUAGUUACCAUCAGGUCAAGCUGGGGACUCUAGUGAGACUGCCACCGUAAGGUGUGAGGAAGGGGGGGAUGACGUCAAAUCAGCACGGCCCUUAUGUCCGGGGCGACACACGUGUUACAAUGGGAGGUACAGAGGGCAGCCAGUUAGUGAUAACGCGCCAAUCUCAAAAACCUUUCUCAGUUCGGAUUGGAGUCUGCAACUCGACUCCAUGAAGUUGGAUUCGCUAGUAAUCGCGCAUCAGCCAUGGCGCGGUGAAUACGUUCCCGGGCCUUGUACACACCGCCCGUCAAGCCAUGGAAGCUUGGGGUGCCUAAAGUUCGUAACCGAAAGGAGCGACCUAGGGCAAAACAAGUAACUGGGGCUAAGUCGUA
RNAcentral lists this ribosomal RNA (720 nucleotides) under uncultured Bacteroidales bacterium. Its description in RNAcentral is "bacterial SSU rRNA". It matches the Rfam family "Bacterial small subunit ribosomal RNA", at positions 757 to 1490 of the family's 1533-position model. The record is from RNAcentral. Lineage: Bacteria; Pseudomonadati; Bacteroidota; Bacteroidia; Bacteroidales.